This is a long non-coding RNA of Cucumis melo (muskmelon), 1136 nucleotides long. RefSeq lists it as uncharacterized. The record is from RefSeq and is a predicted model, not a curated record. The transcript has 4 exons. NCBI's taxonomy places the organism in Eukaryota, Viridiplantae, Streptophyta, Magnoliopsida, Cucurbitales, Cucurbitaceae.
AAGGUUGCCAAUCUAUGCUCAGCCACUGGAAAACUAGAAUGUUAGUUAAGUCUGCAUCAGUGGUCUCCACGCUCCACUUUCAUUUGCUCAAAGAUUUCAAGUAUGAUUGCAGGGACCAUAGGGCAGUUCUUGGAAGCUUAUGAGACCUGAAUGACUGAUUUCUUCUAUGAGCAUAUUGAACAAGAAUUGUGCUCAGAUACGUCUCUCUCACACCUUUUUUUUCUUCUGCCAUAUACUUGCUUUGAAUUUCCGACUGCAAUACUUAUCUAUUCUUAUUAGGUUAAUAGGAAAAAAGUAUUAGAUAAUAGCUUCUUGAAUUUGGCCAUUAGUUUUUUUUAACCUUCUCGUGCACUUGUAUAUGAAAGCAAGUGAGGCUAGAGCCAAUAUUGCAAAAAUUAUUGAAUGUUUUGUUUCUAGUAAAAUGUGGUUAUUACUUUUAUAAUUUUUAGACAGAGGAAAAUUGUAAAAUAUUUUUGGUUAUGCAUCCAACUGUCAUGAAGGUGGCGACUCUUCUAAAUACCCUUUUUUUUUCCAAAACGGGAGCUCAAAUAAUGAUUAAUUUCUUUAAUUCUUAUAAACCACAAAUGUACCACUAAUGAAGUGCAGGUGCUCCACUCAGCUAUAAUAAAGUAGUUUCUUUAGAAGAUUUGGAGGAAAAAUACGCCCUACCUCUCUGUCCUCUCUCUCAAGCAGGAAUAAACACAUCAUCAAACACCAAGUUGAAGUUAAGAUUGGUCUCUUUGGAAGCUUGAGGAUUUAAAGUGAUGAAUUUUUCAUCAAGGAUAAGAGGAUUUUUCCAACCUUCAUUUGAAUAACCUUGGAUCAAGUUAAUUGGAGAAUUUUACUGUCAACUAGGGAGUACCUUUGUUUGGCUAAAAUCUCCAGGCGAAGGUAAAGGUAGAGGAAAGCUGGCGAGCGACAAAGAAGGAUCCGUGACAUGCCAUAUGGGGACUCAGUUUUGCUUCCGCGUUUUAAUAUUCCAUUUUUAAUGAAAAUUUAUUCUUCCCUCGUUUCAAAAAAAAGUGUCUCUUGUCAUUGUUUCUCCUUAGUAACGACCUCAGCUUAGUAUAAAGAGUUGGGUCGUUACAUAUUAUUUCAAAUAUUUAUAGUUUUCAACGUUAUUUCUGAUAUUUAUU